AACCAACUUAUUUACAUUAAUAAAUUGAAUAAUCUCCAGUUACCAGACGUCAGUCAGAACAUUUGUUUUGAUUAUAUUUUACCAAUUGGGAUAACUGAGUCACUUUUUUAUUACUCAAUAAAUUAGGCCUCGUGUUCACUAAGCAAUUGUAUAGUUAUGUCCAGUGCUAAUGGAAAUGAAUGAAUAAUUUCAGCAACUUUCAUGAAAACCACCUUGAACAAUUCAGCAGUAAAUAACACCCAAGAUGUUCUCUUUGCAACGACUGCAAGAAUGCACAACCCAGGAAACCAUGCUCAGAGCUCUGAAGACCUAUCAGUUCAGAUGUAAUCAGUGAUAUAUGUAUGUGUAAUGAAUGUAUACUGUGGCUGACAAUUUAAAUACAUUGGGUGUUUCUUGCUGCAGUUAUGUACCAUUUAUCAAAAAUGAACAUGUACUGUGCUAAGAUAAUGUGAUGACUCAUAUUUAAUUUUGUGUAGAAUUUAUAUAUUUUUUUAUUAUAAUAUAAGAACUAAACAGCUGUAUGGAUUGUUUAACAACACCCAGUUUUCUGAUUUGUGUGUCUAAGAAUUUUUUUUUUUUUUUUUGAAAAUGGUUAGUAGUCUUAAAGAUAAAACAGCAAAGGAGGAACAGUGAUUGGAAAAUUUGGUAAUGCCUUGAGGUGUUUAAUGUGCCUGAGUUGUAUACCUAAAUAUGUACCAAACAUAUAGUUGUACUAAAAAAAAAAAUUGCAGUAAUGUGGGGGCAAGUAUUGAGGUAAAAUAAUGUGUGUUGUUCUGAAAUGGAAUAAUUGAAUUUCAUAUACUGGAUUUGAAGAUAGAAAGUUUGUGAUUGACUGUGAUGUAUGUUUUCAGUCAACUGCCUAUAAUCAGUUUUAAUAUUAAGAUGGUGCAUUAAUUUGUUAUUGGCAAUUAAAAUUUAAGUACAUUUCCAGCCCUUUGUUUGCUAUUUUUGGUACUUAAGUGCUCGGUGUAUAGAUCAACGAAUUCAUAAACUAAAACACUGAUUUAUAAAGUAGAGCUAACUGUUCACCACACAGAGGUGAAAAGAGGUAAUAUGAAAAUACUAGAAAACAAAGUUACCCUUGCAAACCAAUUUGUGUGACAAAAGAAAAAAAUAAAA
Long non-coding RNA from Bacillus rossius redtenbacheri, 1119 nucleotides. RefSeq lists it as uncharacterized. The record is from RefSeq and is a predicted model, not a curated record. Lineage: Eukaryota; Metazoa; Arthropoda; Insecta; Phasmatodea; Bacillidae. The transcript is spliced from 2 exons.